Melitaea cinxia (Glanville fritillary) is the source of this 474-nucleotide long non-coding RNA. RefSeq lists it as uncharacterized. The record is from RefSeq and is a predicted model, not a curated record. The transcript is spliced from 2 exons. Lineage: Eukaryota; Metazoa; Arthropoda; Insecta; Lepidoptera; Nymphalidae.
UUUAAACUUAUUGCACUUUUUAUACAGAGGAUCCUUGACAGCGUAGAAACUGUAAAUAUAAAAACUAUAAAACAUUUUCACGAUUAUAAUCUACAUAAAACGCAUUAAACGUUAUAAAAUACGAACAUCAAGUCAAGGUACCUUGAAAUGGAUUGAAUCGUCAUUUAUUUUCCGAUAAAUUAAUUUGAAAAGCAAAAUUAUAUUUACUUGGUUUUUUCUCUUUUUCUACAUAUUUUCUCUGCUCUGCUUGGCUGUGUUUGAUUGUGUCCUGAACAAUCUUGCAUGCCGCUUCAAAAACGAAAUGAUCAUUCACAUCACCUUGUGACCGACGAAAGAAGAGCUGUGACAGUUUGAGUCAAAGCAAACUUCUGUUAAAAAAAUACAUACUAAAAAUAUACUUCUCUUGUUGAAUAAUAAGAUGUUAAAGCUACGAAAUAAUGAAAACAUGUGCCUAAAUAGAAAAAUUUAAUAGUG